UCUUGCUGGCUGUGUGGUUUUGGGUCAUUUGCUUUGUCUCUUGGCUGUUUUUCUGUUAAGGGAAGGGCUGGCCAGUCAGGAGCUUUCUGGCUGUGGCUGUCCAGUGGUCAGACAUUCUUGCUGAGCAAGCAUCACCAAUGCUUUUGUCCCUGUUGGGCUGUGCUUGCCAGGGAGAUGUUUGACUCAUCUUUUUCUCAGGCUCUGUGACAUCCAGAGCAGGAUUUAUCCCUGCCAGCUGGUCUAUCCACGAGCGAAUCCUCUUUUUACAAAUCUUCUAGAAGAACAAUUGCCUCCAGAGAUGAGGGGAGUUUUGUCUGACUGUGUAAUUCAGUGCAUUUGCUGGCUGUCCGUGUGAGACCUCCACCCUACAUCGAAGCUCUGCUUGUCAAGGAAUGGGGCUUGAGGUCUGCUUUCCACCUCAACUGUCCUUUGUGAUUUCAUCAGCAGCAUUCAAGGAACAGUUCUCACCCCUGCUCAGCCCUGCUCCCCACUGCCUGGAAGCCCAGUUUCUCCGUCCUCACUGAGCUCCCGGAGACCCGUCCAGGUAGUUAGGGUCCUGAAUCCUGCAAUGAGUUUGAUUCACUGAGCCUGUCAGGAUGUAAGGAAGCUCAAGGAACAUGGAGAAGCUGCGUAGAAACACUCUGGUCAAAAGCUGAGCCACUGGAUCAUCCCAUACCUGGCGGCAGGUAUAUUAGUCUAGGAUAAAAGCCUCCGAAUAACUCCAGGCUCUGCUUUUCUGGUCUUUCCAGCUAAUACCCCAUAUACAGUGGAGUAGAAGGCCUUCCUGAUGUGCUAGUCUUUAUUCUCAGCUCACAGAUAUAGCUAUUGUUGAAGGCUGUUGUUUGACAGCAGUACAUUCUGGGGCAGCCAGUCAGCAAUGCUUCAUCCAGGUAUGUACAGAGUCCACCUCUUUCUCCUGCCACCACUGACUUGUCCUUAGUGAUCUGUCUCAUAGAUCCUCAGCGCUCCAUUAAAUGAACAGGGAAAGUAUUCAAGACAAGAAGGCAUGAAAACAAUCUGGCGCUGCUUCCUAGAGCUCCCAAGUAUGCAACGAUUGUCCAUGAAAUUGUGAAAAAAUUUUAUUUUCUCCAUGUCACCAAGGUGAACUACCUGAUACAACUGACUUCUGAAGAGAAAAUUUUUAAUCUAUUUUCUUCCUUUGAGAUAAAAUCUUACUAUAGAUCUCUGGUUGGUCUGCAACCUACUAGGUUGCUCAGAUAGGCCUUGGAUUUGAGAGUGAUCCUCCUGCAUCAGCCUUCCUAGUUCCAUGGAUGGCUCAAAAUGUUUUUUCUUUUAAAAUCAUGCUUCUGGAUGUUCCCAUGACUUUGGGUCUCAGCUUUGGGAGGACUUGGUUACAGACAAAAAGGCUGUCUCAUGAACAAAAAGACAGAGAAAAGGAAAUAUCACAGGCCCACGUUCUCCUCUAAGAUAUGCCUUCAGUGAUGGAAAGACCCCUCCCCCUCGAGGCACCGGUUCCUAUAGGCCCCACCACAUCCUAACACCACCAGCCACAACAGAUCUUUGAGGGAGAUUUACUGACCAUAGCAGUAGCUUUGCUGUGUCACCUCAAACUGCAAAAGUUACAGCCACAGUCCAUGAUAAACGUUUAGUUAAGAUGGAAAGGGUGGCCAGGCAUGGUGGUACACAGUUCCAACUUCAGCACUGAGAAACUAACGUAGGAAGGUGGAGAAUUCAAGGAUAGCCUAGGCCACAUAGUGAGUUAGUGGCCUACCUAGUGAGACCUUUUCUCAAAAUGCCCUCCUAUCAAACUGCAUGGAAAGGCAUUAAAGUUGUAUAUGUUGGGAUAGUAAAGAAACAUGAUAUCUGUAUAUAUGAGGGGUUUGGUAUCUCCAAAGUUCCAAUUAUUCAAUGAGAAUCUUGAAACACAGUUCUCAAAAUAAAGAGUAACCAAU
Mastomys coucha (southern multimammate mouse) is the source of this 1913-nucleotide long non-coding RNA. RefSeq lists it as uncharacterized. The transcript has 2 exons. The record is from RefSeq and is a predicted model, not a curated record. Lineage: Eukaryota; Metazoa; Chordata; Mammalia; Rodentia; Muridae.